Molecule: long non-coding RNA, 309 nt
Organism: Harpia harpyja (harpy eagle)
Lineage: Eukaryota; Metazoa; Chordata; Aves; Accipitriformes; Accipitridae
Exons: 4
Source: RefSeq, a predicted model, not a curated record
GUGAAGGAGCCUGAUCUUGCGGCAGUAGCGCCAGAUGGUGACUAGUAAAAGGGCGUCUGAGACCAGGAUGGAAAUAGAUGGAAAGCUUAUGCACAGAUGAAAGGCUUGAAAUGAAAUACAUUAUGCAUGCGACGAACAGUUGGAAUCUGAGAGCCACUUGGAGGUUUGCAGAUGCCUGGGUUGAUAGAAAACGUGUUCUUCCAGGACAAAGCCUUCAUUAAAAAAGAUUAAAAAGUGAUAUUCCCUCUUAAGCCAACAUUGGCUGCCAUGGGUAGGUCUCUGAAGGCUAGAUCAGGGGUAUUGGUGAUG